GAUGAACGCUGGCGGCGUGCCUAAUACAUGCAAGUCGAGCGAACAGAUAAGGAGCUUGCUCCUUUGACGUUAGCGGCGGACGGGUGAGUAACACGUGGGUAACCUACCUAUAAGACUGGGAUAACUUCGGGAAACCGGAGCUAAUACCGGAUAAUAUUUCGAACCGCAUGGUUCGAUAGUGAAAGAUGGUUUUGCUAUCACUUAUAGAUGGACCCGCGCCGUAUUAGCUAGUUGGUAAGGUAACGGCUUACCAAGGCGACGAUACGUAGCCGACCUGAGGGGGGGGGUGGCCAACCUGGGACUUGGGCCCGGGCCAGACCUCCUCGGGGAGGAGCAAGGGGGAAUCCUUCCGCAAGGGGAGAAGGCCGAACGGAGCACCCCGGGGGGAGUAAGAAAGGUCUUGGGACCAAAAAACUUUUUUUUUAGGAAAAAACAUACGUGAAAGAACUUGGCCCCUUUUUGAGGUUCCCUAAUAAGAAACCCACGGCUAAGUACGGC
Molecule: ribosomal RNA, 498 nt
Filed under: uncultured bacterium
Lineage: Bacteria
Description: partial 16S ribosomal RNA
Rfam family: Bacterial small subunit ribosomal RNA
Source: RNAcentral